GACGGUGCCAACGAGUCUGAUCUUCUAGCCCGAAAGGGUUGGGUAAACUGGUCAAUCACCGUCAUGACAGGGAUCGGGGCUUGGAAUUGUUCCCCGUGAACGAGGAAUUCCUAGUAAGUGCAAGUCAUAAGCUUGCGCUGAUUACGUCCCUGCCCUUUGUACACACCGCCCGUCGCUACUACCGAUUGAAUGGUUUAGUAAGGUCUUUGGAUUGGCGCCAUUGUAGCAGUUGCCGUAAGGUAGCUUGCUCGACAGGUGCUAAGAAGAUGACCAAAC
This 276-nucleotide ribosomal RNA is filed under the name Cyathocephalus truncatus. Its description in RNAcentral is "partial 18S ribosomal RNA". It matches the Rfam family "Eukaryotic small subunit ribosomal RNA", at positions 1505 to 1764 of the family's 1831-position model. Lineage: Eukaryota; Metazoa; Platyhelminthes; Cestoda; Spathebothriidea; Acrobothriidae. The record is from RNAcentral.